Molecule: ribosomal RNA, 473 nt
Filed under: uncultured organism
Description: partial 16S ribosomal RNA
Rfam family: Bacterial small subunit ribosomal RNA
Source: RNAcentral
CACUCCUACGGGAGGCAGCAGUGGGGAAUUUUGGACAAUGGGCGAAAGCCUGAUCCAGCAAUGCCGCGUGAGUGAAGAAGGCCUUCAGGCUGUAAAGCUCUUUUGUCAGGGAAGAAACGGUGAAAGCUAAUAUCUUUUGCUAAUGACGGUACCUGAAGAAUAAGCACCGGCUAACUACGUGCCAGCAGCCGCGGUAAUACGUAGGGUGCAAGCGUUAAUCGGAAUUACUGGGCGUAAAGCGUGCGCAGGCGGUUUUGUAAGUCUGAUGUGAAAUCCCCGGGCUCAACCUGGGAAUUGCAUUGGAGACUGCAAGGCUAGAAUCUGGCAGAGGGGGGUAGAAUUCCACGUGUAGCAGUGAAAUGCGUAGAUAUGUGGAGGAACACCGAUGGCGAAGGCAGCCCCCUGGGUCAAGAUUGACGCUCAUGCACGAAAGCGUGGGGAGCAAACAGGAUUAGAAACCCUGGUAGUCCCAU